GAAUAUUGGACAAGGGGCGAAAGCCUGAUCCAGCCAUGCCGCGUGUGUGAAGAAGGUCUUCGGAUUGUAAAGCACUUUAAGUUGGGAGGAAGGGCAGUAAGCGAAUACCUUGAUGUUUUGACGUUACCAACAGAAUAAGCACCGGCUAACUCUGUGCCAGCGGCCGCGGGAAGACAGAGGGGGGAACAGUUAAUCGGAAUUACUGGGCGUAAAGCGCGCGUAGGUUGGUCGUUAAGUUGGAUGUGAAAUCCCCGGGCUCAACCUGGGAACUGCAUCCAAAACUGGCGAGCUAGAGUAGGGCAGAGGGUGGUGGAAUUUCCUGUGUAGCGGUGAAAUGCGUAAAUAUAGGAAGGAACACCAGUGGCGAAGGCGACCACCUGGGCUCAUACUGACACUGAGGUGCGAAAGCGUGGGGAGCAAACAG
This 424-nucleotide ribosomal RNA is filed under the name uncultured bacterium. Its description in RNAcentral is "partial 16S ribosomal RNA". It matches the Rfam family "Bacterial small subunit ribosomal RNA", at positions 359 to 775 of the family's 1533-position model. The record is from RNAcentral.